This 261-nucleotide ribosomal RNA is filed under the name uncultured prokaryote. RNAcentral's name for it is "partial 16S ribosomal RNA". It matches the Rfam family "Bacterial small subunit ribosomal RNA", at positions 917 to 1178 of the family's 1533-position model. The record is from RNAcentral.
GGGCCCGCACAAGCGGUGGAGCAUGUGGUUUAAUUCGAAGCAACGCGAAGAACCUUACCAGGUCUUGACAUCCUUUGACCACUCUAGAGAUAGAAGUGUUCUCUUCGGAGACAAAGUGACAGGUGGUGCAUGGUCGUCGUCAGCUCGUGUCGUGAGAUGUUGGGUUAAGUCCCGCAACGAGCGCAACCCUUAUUGUUAGUUGCCAGCAUUCAGAUGGGCACUCUAGCGAGACUGCCGGUGACAAACCGGAGGAAGGCGGGG